UACGGAGGGUGCAAGCGUUCCUCGGAAUUACUGGGCGUAAAGCGCACGCAGGUGGCUGAGUCAGUCGAUUGUGAAAGCCCUGGGCUUAACCUGGGAAUUGCAGUCGAUACUACUCAGCUAGAGUAUGGGAGAGGGUAGUGGAAUUCCCGGUGUAGCGGUGAAAUGCGUAGAUAUCGGGAGGAACAUCAGUGGCGAAGGCGGCUACCUGGCCCAAUACUGACACUCAGGUGCGACAGCGUGGGGAGCAAACAGG
RNAcentral lists this ribosomal RNA (253 nucleotides) under uncultured bacterium. RNAcentral's name for it is "partial 16S ribosomal RNA". It matches the Rfam family "Bacterial small subunit ribosomal RNA", at positions 524 to 776 of the family's 1533-position model. The record is from RNAcentral.